Molecule: long non-coding RNA, 220 nt
Filed under: Zostera marina
Lineage: Eukaryota; Viridiplantae; Streptophyta; Magnoliopsida; Alismatales; Zosteraceae
Description: long non-coding RNA (ZMAR_LNC000978)
Source: RNAcentral
UCCCAUCCAUAUUGUGGAGGUCGGCGCCCCGGACUCCCAUCGUGAUGCUUCCUCUGCUCCUGGUGCCCCGGAUGCCCCCCUUCGAGACAGCCGGUCCGACCGACGGCAAAAGAAGAAGAGUCGCGCUGAGAAACGAAAGUCGGUCGCCGCCUCCUUGAUGACGGACUCGGUCCAAAUUGAGGACUUGGACGCUUCUGAGAACAGCCCUGGUGCCAGCCAC